GGAGAUGGUCUUAGUUGCGGACA
This 23-nucleotide non-coding RNA is filed under the name Arabidopsis thaliana (thale cress). Lineage: Eukaryota; Viridiplantae; Streptophyta; Magnoliopsida; Brassicales; Brassicaceae. The record is from RNAcentral.